UACAGAGGGUGCGAGCGUUGUUCGGAAUUACUGGGCGUAAAGCGCGCGCAGGCGGAUGAUGCAAGUCUGGAGUGAAAUCUCGCCGCUCAACGGCGAGACUGCUUUGGAUACUGUACGUCUGGGGACUGGUAGAGGCUGGUAGAAUUCCCGGUGUAGCGGUGGAAUGCGUAGAUAUCGGGAAGAAUACCCGUGGCGAAGGCGGCCAACUGGACGAAUACUGACGCUGAGACACGAAAGCGUGGGGAGCAAACAGG
This 254-nucleotide ribosomal RNA is filed under the name uncultured bacterium. Its description in RNAcentral is "partial 16S ribosomal RNA". It matches the Rfam family "Bacterial small subunit ribosomal RNA", at positions 524 to 776 of the family's 1533-position model. The record is from RNAcentral.